GCGGAGGGAUCAUUACCGAGUUUACAACUCCCAAACCCCUGUGAACAUACCAAUUGUUGCCUCGGCGGAUCAGCCCGCUCCCGGUAAAACGGGACGGCCCGCCAGAGGACCCCUAAACUCUGUUUCUAUAUGUAACUUCUGAGUAAAACCAUAAAUAAAUCAAAACUUUCAACAACGGAUCUCUUGGUUCUGGCAUCGAUGAAGAACGCAGCAAAAUGCGAUAAGUAAUGUGAAUUGCAGAAUUCAGUGAAUCAUCGAAUCUUUGAACGCACAUUGCGCCCGCCAGUAUUCUGGCGGGCAUGCCUGUUCGAGCGUCAUUUCAACCCUCAAGCCCCCGGGUUUGGUGUUGGGGAUCGGCGAGCCCUUGCGGCAAGCCGGCCCCGAAAUCUAGUGGCGGUCUCGCUGCAGCUUCCAUUGCGUAGUAGUAAAACCCUCGCAACUGGUACGCGGCGCGGCCAACCCGUUAAACCCCCAACUUCUGAAUGUUGACCUCGGAUCAGGUAGGAAUACCCGCUGAACUUAAGCAUAUCAAUAAGCGGAGGAAAAGAAACCAACAGGGAUUGCCCUAGUAACGGCGAGUGAAGCGGCAACAGCUCAAAUUUGAAAUCUGGCUCUCGGGCCCGAGUUGUAAUUUGUAGAGGAUACUUUUGAUGCGGUGCCUUCCGAGUUCCCUGGAACGGGACGCCAUAGAGGGUGAGAGCCCCGUCUGGUUGGAUGCCAAAUCUCUGUAAAGUUCCUUCGACGAGUCGAGUAGUUUGGGAAUGCUGCUCUAAAUGGGAGGUAUAUGUCUUCUAAAGCUAAAUACCGGCCAGAGACCGAUAGCGCACAAGUAGAGUGAUCGAAAGAUGAAAAGCACUUUGAAAAGAGAGUUAAAAAGUACGUGAAAUUGUUGAAAGGGAAGCGUUUAUGACCAGACUUGGGCUUGGUUAAUCAUCUGGGGUUCUCCCCAGUGCACUUUUCCAGUCCAGGCCAGCAUCAGUUUUCCCCGGGGGAUAAAGACUUCGGGAAUGUGGCUCCUAAAGGGGUGUUAUAGCCCGUUGUGUAAUAGCCA
This 1051-nucleotide ribosomal RNA is filed under the name Fusarium sp. G344. RNAcentral describes it as "eukaryotic LSU rRNA". The stretch from base 487 to 1051 matches the Rfam family "Eukaryotic large subunit ribosomal RNA", at positions 1 to 577 of the family's 3401-position model. The record is from RNAcentral. Lineage: Eukaryota; Fungi; Ascomycota; Sordariomycetes; Hypocreales; Nectriaceae.